GUUGGGCGUGGUGGCGCAUGCCUGUAAUCCUAGCGGCUCGGGAGGCUGAGGAUUGCGAGUUCAAAGCCAGCCUCAG
Molecule: small RNA, 76 nt
Filed under: Marmota monax (woodchuck)
Lineage: Eukaryota; Metazoa; Chordata; Mammalia; Rodentia; Sciuridae
Source: RNAcentral